GAUGAAGAACGCAGCGAAAGGCGAUAAGUAAUGUGAAUUGCAGAAUUCAGUGAAUCAUCGAAUCUUUGAACGCACAUUGCGCCCCUUGGUAUUCCGAGGGGCAUGCCUGUUCGAGCGUCAUUAUAACCCCUCAAGCUCAGCUUGGUGUUGGGGCCUGCUGCACUGGCAGCCCUUAAAAUCAGUGGCGGCGCCAUCUGGCUCUAAGCGUAGUAAUUCUUCUCGCUAUGGAGUCCUGGUGGAUGCUUGCCAUCAACCCCCAAUUUUUCUAUGGUUGACCUCGGAUCAGGUAGGGAUACCCGCUGAACUUAAGCAUAUCAAUAAGCGGAGGA
Molecule: unclassified non-coding RNA, 329 nt
Filed under: soil metagenome
Description: partial contains 5.8S ribosomal RNA, internal transcribed spacer 2, and large subunit ribosomal RNA
Rfam family: 5.8S ribosomal RNA (bases 1-120)
Source: RNAcentral